This 253-nucleotide ribosomal RNA is filed under the name uncultured bacterium. Its description in RNAcentral is "partial 16S ribosomal RNA". It matches the Rfam family "Bacterial small subunit ribosomal RNA", at positions 524 to 776 of the family's 1533-position model. The record is from RNAcentral.
UACGUAGGGUGCGAGCGUUGUCCGGAAUUACUGGGCGUAAAGAGCUCGUAGGUGGUUUGUCGCGUUGUCCGUGAAAACUCACAACUCAAUUGUGGGCGUGCGGGCGAUACGGGCAGACUGGAGUACUGCAGGGGAGACUGGAAUUCCUGGUGUAGCGGUGGAAUGCGCAGAUAUCAGGAGGAACACCGGUGGCGAAGGCGGGUCUCUGGGCCGAUACUGACGCUCAUGUGCGAAAGCGUGGGGAGCAAACAGG